CCGCAUGCACAAGGUUUUACCACUGUACACUGUUUUACCGAGUAGGACACUAUAAAUGGCUUUCAAAAAGGGUUUUCACUUGUUCAAGUUCUUACUUUUAUUGCUUUACCAAAGUUCCAUUUUCAAACUGAUUUAUGAAAGAUUUCCAAAGGUUUUCAAACUUAUUUUACAAAAGAAUACAAAUUGUGAUUUUCCCGAGUAUAAAUGUUUUUCAUCAAUGUUCACUUUCACGACGUAUACUUAUACUUGUUAAAUACCGCUACUUCGCUUAUACUUAUUUUAUACUCCUACUCUGUAACGCUUUCGCUUAUACCUGAAGUCACUUAUACCUGAUAACGCUUAUACUUAUUCACCCUCUUACUUAGUGAUAUGAUCNUUAUACUUGAUAUCGACUCUACUUCACUUAUACUCGAUACGCUCAUACUUCACUUAUUGUCGUAUCUACUUCGUGAUACGCUUAUACUUUUUCGACACUCUUACUUCACUUGCAAUCACUCCUACUUCACUUGUUAGACACUCCUACUUCACAGAGAUCNNNNNNNNNNNNNNNNNNNNNNNNNNNNNNNNNNNNNNNNNNNNNNNNNNNNNNNNNNNNNNNNNNNNNNNNNNNNNNNNNNNNNNNNNNNNNNNNNNNNGCAAAUUAGGGUAUAGAAACCCUAAUCUCGAAAUUUCUAGCCUCCAAGGGUUUAUUGGCUAUAAACCCUAAUAUGUCAAGUUCAUAAUAUUGUAUAAUACUAAUUGAAAACAAGUUAACCAAAGGCUCUGAUACCACUGAUGGGAUUUGUACAUACAAUCCUAUGUGUACAUGCAACCCUUGCAUUGGAUCUAUGUUUUCUCUAUUAGAUACACAACAUUAUGAACACAUAAUAAAACCCUAAUGCUAGCAUAUAAGUAAUCAUAUUAACAUAAGAAUAGGUUUAUAAUAUUACCUUGAUUGUUAUGUAGCAAUAACAAUCCCAAAUCUCCUUGUAUUGACUUUGGAAGGCUUAGAGUCACAAGUGUCACUCCUCUAAUGGCUUACAAACACCAAGAGCAAAUGGAGAAGGUAUAAAGAGAGAGGGGAGGUAUUAAAUUCGUUCCUAAGAAGCCUUAGGAAGGUCUGGACGAAAUCAUAAGCCAAAGGGGGUUUAUAUAGGUGUAGAGAUAGGGUUUCAGUCCUUAUCCUUAUCUAGUUGCUUGCUUACCAAGCAACCCAUAAGAUAAGCCUUGAAUCCUUAUCAUGAUCGAAUUCUAAGGUACUUAUCACCUCAAAUUCGUCCAACCUAUCCUUAGGAUAAUCCUUACCCUAUUUUGUAACUAUCACAUAAUUACAUGUGAUUGAUAACCCGCAUGCACAAGAUGUUACAUGUGAUUGAUAACCCGCAUGCACAAGAUGUUACCAAUGUACACUGUUUUACCGAGUAGGACACUAUAAAUGGCUUUCAAAAUGGGUUUUCACUUGUUCAAGUUCUUACUUUUAUUGCUUUACCAAAGUUCCAUUUUCAAACUGAUUUAUGAAAGAUUUCCAAAGGUUUUCAAACUUAUUUUACAAAAGAAUACAAAUUGUGAUUUUCCCGAGUAUAAAGGUUUUUCAUCAAAGUUCACUUUCACGACGUAUACUUUUACUUGUUAAAUACUGCUGCUUCGCUUAUACUUAUUUUAUACUCCUACUCUGUAACGCUUUCACUUAUACUUGAAGUCACUUAUACCUGAUGGACGCUUAUACUUAUUCACACUCUUACUUAGUGAUACGAUUCUACUUCGCUUAUACUUGAUAUCGACUCUACUUCACUUAUACUCGAUACGCUCAUACUUCACUUAUUGUCGUCUCUACUACGUGAUACGCUUAUACUUGUUCGACACUCUUACUUCACUUGCGAUCACUCCUACUUCACUUGUUAGACACUCCUACUUCACAGAGAUCACUCCUACUUGAUACACACUCAGUCGUAGUUAGAUGUAUGUAUGUGCUUGUAUAGAUGCAUAUAAAUAAUGAUUGAAGGACUUAGGAAGGCUUGUCUGCCCUAUUUCCUUUUCUUCGUUGAGAUGUGGUCUGGUGGGAUCGGAUGUCCAUCCGAAGGUCAUUUGAUUCAUUACUUAUAUAUUAUGUAC
This 2091-nucleotide long non-coding RNA is filed under the name Lactuca sativa (garden lettuce). RNAcentral's name for it is "long non-coding RNA (LSAT_LNC003871)". Lineage: Eukaryota; Viridiplantae; Streptophyta; Magnoliopsida; Asterales; Asteraceae. The record is from RNAcentral.